UUUCCGUAGGUGAACCUGCGGAAGGAUCAUUACAGAGUUCAUGCCCUCACGGGUAGAUCUCCCACCCUUGAAUAUUUAUACCUUAGUUGCUUUGGCAGGCCGUGGAAACACCAUGGGCUCCGGCUUAUGCGUGCCUGCCAGAGGAAACAAACUCUGUUUUUAGUGAUGUCUGAGUACUAUAUAAUAGUUAAAACUUUCAACAACGGAUCUCUUGGUUCUGGCAUCGAGAAGAACGCAGC
RNAcentral lists this unclassified non-coding RNA (239 nucleotides) under plant metagenome. Its description in RNAcentral is "partial contains small subunit ribosomal RNA, internal transcribed spacer 1, and 5.8S ribosomal RNA". The record is from RNAcentral.